This 796-nucleotide ribosomal RNA is filed under the name uncultured Methanosarcinaceae archaeon. Its description in RNAcentral is "bacterial SSU rRNA". It matches the Rfam family "Archaeal small subunit ribosomal RNA", at positions 85 to 879 of the family's 1478-position model. Lineage: Archaea; Methanobacteriati; Methanobacteriota; Methanomicrobia; Methanosarcinales; Methanosarcinaceae. The record is from RNAcentral.
ACUGCUCAGUAACACGUGGAUAACCUGCCCUUGGGUCCGGCAUAACUCCGGGAAACUGGAGAUAAUUCCGGAUAACGCAUAUAUGCUGGAAUGCUUUAUGCGUAAAAUGGAUUCGUCUGCCCAAGGAUGGGUCUGCGGCCUAUCAGGUAGUAGUGGGUGUAAUGUACCUACUAGCCAACAACGGGUACGGGUUGUGAGAGCAAGAGCCCGGAGAUGGAUUCUGAGACAUGAAUCCAGGCCCUACGGGGCGCAGCAGGCGCGAAAACUUUACAAUGCGGGAAACCGUGAUAAGGGGACACCGAGUGCCAGCAUCAUAUGCUGGCUGUCCAGGUGUGUAAAAUACACCUGUCAGCAAGGGCCGGGCAAGACCGGUGCCAGCCGCCGCGGUAACACCGGCGGCCCGAGUGGUGAUCGUGAUUAUUGGGUCUAAAGGGUCCGUAGCCGGUUUGGUCAGUCCUCCGGGAAAUCUGACGGCUCAACCGUUAGGCUUUCGGGGGAUACUGCCAGGCUUGGAACCGGGAGAGGUAAGAGGUACUACAGGGGUAGGAGUGAAAUCUUGUAAUCCCUGUGAGACCACCUGUGGCGAAGGCGUCUUACCAGAACGGGUUCGACGGUGAGGGACGAAAGCUGGGGGCACGAACCGGAUUAGAUACCCGGGUAGUCCCAGCCGUAAACGAUGCUCGCUAGGUGUCAGGCAUGGCGCGACCGUGUCUGGUGCCGCAGGGAAGCCGUGAAGCGAGCCACCUGGGAAGUACGGCCGCAAGGCUGAAACUUAAAGGAAUUGGCGGGGGAGCAC